CUACGGGUUGCUGCAGUAGGGAAUUUUCCACAAUGGGCGAAAGCCUGAUGGAGCAACACCGCGUGCAGGAUGAAGGCCUUCGGGUCGUAAACUGCUUUUAUGAGUGAUGAUUAUGACAGUAGCUCAAGAAUAAGGGUCGGCUAACUACGUGCCAGCAGCCGCGGUCAUACGUAGGACCCAAGCGUUAUCCGGAAUUACUGGGCGUAAAGAGUUGCGUAGGCGGCUUGUUAAGUUGGUAGUGAAAUCGUGCGGCUCAACCGCAUACACAUUAUCAAAACUGGCAAGCUAGAGAAUGAGAGAGGUUAUUGGAAUUCCAAGUGUAGGAGUGAAAUCCGUAGAUAUUUGGAGGAACACCGAUGGCGUAGGCAGAUAACUGGCUCAUUUCUGACGCUCAGGCACGAAAGCGUGGGGAGCAAACGGGAUUAGAUACCCGGGUAGUC
Molecule: ribosomal RNA, 440 nt
Filed under: uncultured bacterium
Lineage: Bacteria
Description: partial 16S ribosomal RNA
Rfam family: Bacterial small subunit ribosomal RNA
Source: RNAcentral